RNAcentral lists this ribosomal RNA (558 nucleotides) under uncultured bacterium. RNAcentral's name for it is "partial 16S ribosomal RNA". It matches the Rfam family "Bacterial small subunit ribosomal RNA", at positions 355 to 1375 of the family's 1533-position model. The record is from RNAcentral.
UGGGGAAUAUUGGACAAUGGGGGCAACCCUGAUCCAGCCAUGCCGCGUGAGUGAUGAAGGCCCUAGGGUUGUAAAGCUCUUUUGUGCGGGAAGAUAAUGACGGUACCGCAAGAAUAAGCCCCGGCUAACUUCGUGCCAGCAGCCGCGGUAAUACGAAGGGGGCUAGCGUUGCUCGGAAUCACUGGGCGUAAAGGGUGCGUAGGCGGGUUUCUAAGUCAGAGGUGAAAGCCUGGAGCUCAACUCCAGAACUGCCUUUGAUACUGAAAGUCUUGAGUAUGGCAGAGGUNAGUGGAACUGCGAGUGUAGAGGUGAAAUUCGUAGAUAUUCGCAAGAACACCAGUGGCGAAGGCGGCUCACUGGGCCAUUACUGACGCUGAGGCACGAAAGCGUGGGGAGCAAACAGGAUUAGAUACCCUGGUAGUCCACGCCGUAACGAUGAAUGCCAGCCNUUAGUGGGUUUUACUCACUAGUGGCGCAGCUAACGCUUUAAGCAUUCCGCCUGGGGAGUACGGUCGCAAGAUUAAAACUUAAGGAUUGACGGGGUCAUAGCUGUUUCCU